Molecule: transfer RNA, 76 nt
Filed under: Burkholderiales bacterium
Lineage: Bacteria; Pseudomonadati; Pseudomonadota; Betaproteobacteria; Burkholderiales
Also listed under: 2 other names
Description: tRNA-Glu
Rfam family: tRNA
About the family: Transfer RNA (tRNA) molecules are approximately 80 nucleotides in length. Their secondary structure includes four short double-helical elements and three loops (D, anti-codon, and T loops).
Source: RNAcentral
GUCCCGUUCGUCUAGAGGCCUAGGACACUACCCUUUCACGGUAGUUACAGGGGUUCGAAUCCCCUACGGGACGCCA